UUUUUUUUUUUUUCCUGCUGAUUCUUCUGAAUAUACCACAGGCAGUCAGGUCACUCUUGGCUCCUCUAGUUCAUCUCUUUCAGAUCCUAUCUCCCACACAACUAAGGCUGUUUCACACUUGCCAGUUCUUUGUUUCUUAGCUCUGGCAAUAAACUCCUGACCUGUUCUUUCCUAUAACUUAGAACCUCACAUGUCUCUGAAACAGAUAAGCAGUACAUGUGGAUUUAGACAUAACUUUCCUGCACUCCUUAGGGAAUUUGGUAAAGGAUGGCAGAGCAAAAAAGGGAACUCUUUCAUACUAGGAUCAUGUGAGGCUAAGUACUUUUCCAAAUGGCCAAAUCCUGGAAGGUCUUUCAGCCAUUCCUCUCUGGAAUGUACAUCUCUGGCCCUGGCCUGGUAGUCAUGCUUCUUUUUUUCUCCUGGGAACAUCACACUUACGUUCCUUUACUGUUCUCCAGUCUCAGUCCAUGUGUGUACAGUAGAGUGGUUCCCACGCUCCAGAUUCUGAGGUUACAGGUGGCCCUUGUCUGCCAGUGAGGCCAUACUAUUUACCUUGGCUAGAAACACUGUUUCAGGAGAAGGAAGGUGACCAAAGCCAGACCUUUCAAGCCAAAUAUAUUCAGUUUCCAAACUUCUUUUGGAACUAUUGGAUAAUAGGAACUUCUUUCAAACUAGGGCUGCAAAGCAGGAGAGGUAAAAUUGAGUGGAAGAGGAUUAAACUUGGUGAGAAUGUGCUUGAAUAUACCCAAAGCAUGGAAAGCUGAUCUGAGAGGUAGGGAGAGACUAAUUCCUAACAGUAUCACUUAGCACCCUGAGGCAGUCAGACCUGGGGAUUCAUUCCUUGAAUUUCUCAGUUGCAAUGGCAGUACAUUUCCUUGAAUUUCCAGUACAAUUCCUUAAAUUUCUUAGUUGCACUGGCAGUACAUUCUCUUUGUUGUUGAAGUUUCAUACAGUUGGGUUUCUAUCAUUUGUGUCCAAAAAGGUUCUGUCAAAUCUGCAAUCCAUUAAGGCAGGAGAAAAAUGAUGCGUGCAAUCUUUUGUCCAAAUAGAAGAGUGGCCUUUGAGGCAACUCACAGUAAAAUGAUGGUCUGUUAUAAUUUGACAUUUCCUGGCUCUAAAAUGGAUCCCAUGGCAGUGGCCACGGGUGCUUAGGAGGAUUUGGUCUUUGAGUUUUACAUGAAGCAGCACAAAGGGGUUUUAUAAUGGCUACUAGAUUCCUCUUUGGGAUUCCCUUCUCUGCUUCCUACUGAAAUGUAAAUGCCUGCACAAUGCAGAUGGCAUAUUUCAUUAAUACAAACAAAAGUCCAGGCAACAGAUGCUUUGGGGACUGAGGGGAAAGGAGAUCUCUGUAUUUCUCCAACAGCAACAACUCCGAUGAUAAAUUUCUCCCACUGAGCAUAUUGAACCAAGAGCAAAGAAAUGUGUAGUUUUCAAGCCUUAGGCACUCUACAGUAUUUAAAAGUAGGAAGAUCAAAAUCAGUAUUUUUGGACAAAGAGAUCUUAUGUUGAGGAAGCUGCAUUGAAAAGCAAUGGGCAAGAAAAGCUGAGUCCUGCUUUGUGAAUUUCACAGGGCUUGGGGAUGGGCAGGACUUCCAAUGUUC
Macaca fascicularis (crab-eating macaque) is the source of this 1601-nucleotide long non-coding RNA. The record is from Ensembl. Lineage: Eukaryota; Metazoa; Chordata; Mammalia; Primates; Cercopithecidae.